GACGAACGCUGGCGGCGCGCCUAACACAUGCAAGUCGAACGAGCGAGAGAGAGCUUGCUUUCUCGAGCGAGUGGCGAACGGGUGAGUAACGCGUGAGGAACCUGCCUCAAAGAGGGGGACAACAGUUGGAAACGACUGCUAAUACCGCAUAAGCCCACGGCUCGGCAUCGAGCAGAGGGGAAAGGAGCAAUCCGCUUUGAGAUGGCCUCGCGUCCGAUUAGCUAGUUGGUGAGGUAACGGCCCACCAAGGCGACGAUCGGUAGCCGGACUGAGAGGUUGAACGGCCACAUUGGGACUGAGACACGGCCCAGACUCCUACGGGAGGCAGCAGUGGGGAAUAUUGCACAAUGGGGGAAACCCUGAUGCAGCGACGCCGCGUGGAGGAAGAAGGUCUUCGGAUUGUAAACUCCUGUUGUUGAGGAAGAUAAUGACGGUACUCAACAAGGAAGUGACGGCUAACUACGUGCCAGCAGCCGCGGUAAAACGUAGGUCACAAGCGUUGUCCGGAAUUACUGGGUGUAAAGGGAGCGCAGGCGGGAAGACAAGUUGGAAGUGAAAUCCAUGGGCUCAACCCAUGAACUGCUUUCAAAACUGUUUUUCUUGAGUAGUGCAGAGGUAGGCGGAAUUCCCGGUGUAGCGGUGGAAUGCGUAGAUAUCGGGAGGAACACCAGUGGCGAAGGCGGCCUACUGGGCACCAACUGACGCUGAGGCUCGAAAGUGUGGGUAGCAAACAGGAUUAGAUACCCUGGUAGUCCACACUGUAAACGAUGAUUACUAGGUGUUGGAGGAUUGACCCCUUCAGUGCCGCAGUUAACACAAUAAGUAAUCCACCUGGGGAGUACGACCGCAAGGUUGAAACUCAAAGGAAUUGACGGGGGCCCGCACAAGCAGUGGAGUAUGUGGUUUAAUUCGACGCAACGCGAAGAACCUUACCAAGUCUUGACAUCCUGCGACGCACAUAGAAAUAUGUGUUUCCUUCGGGACGCAGAGACAGGUGGUGCAUGGUUGUCGCCAGCUCGUGUCGUGAGAUGUUGGGUUAAGUCCCGCAACGAGCGCAACCCUUAUGGUCAGUUACUACGCAAGAGGACUCUGGCCAGACUGCCGUUGACAAAACGGAGGAAGGUGGGGAUGACGUCAAAUCAUCAUGCCCUUUAUGACUUGGGCUACACACGUACUACAAUGGCGUUAAACAAAGAGAAGCAAGACCGCGAGGUGGAGCAAAACUCAGAAACAACGUCCCAGUUCGGACUGCAGGCUGCAACUCGCCUGCACGAAGUCGGAAUUGCUAGUAAUCGCAGACCAGCAUGCUGCGGUGAAUACGUUCCCGGGCCU
This 1332-nucleotide ribosomal RNA is filed under the name uncultured bacterium. RNAcentral describes it as "bacterial SSU rRNA". It matches the Rfam family "Bacterial small subunit ribosomal RNA", at positions 28 to 1381 of the family's 1533-position model. The record is from RNAcentral.